UUUCUGUAGGUGAACCUGCGGAAGGAUCAUUCAUAAUAAAGUGUUUUAUGGCACUUUCUAAAAAUCCAUAUCCACCUUGUGUGCAAUGUUAGAUCUCGUCAAUCUUGGCGAGAUUUUUAUACAUCAACUCAUUCUUUAACUAAUUUGUCUGAAAAAUAUUAUGAAUACUUAAUUCAAAAUACAACUUUCAACAACGGAUCUCUUGGCUCUC
Molecule: unclassified non-coding RNA, 211 nt
Filed under: plant metagenome
Description: partial contains small subunit ribosomal RNA, internal transcribed spacer 1, and 5.8S ribosomal RNA
Source: RNAcentral